UACAGAGACUGCAAGCGUUAUUCGGAUUCACUGGGCGUAAAGGGUGCGCAGGCGGUUGGGUGUGUCAGAUGUGAAAUCCCGAGGCUUAACCUCGGAACUGCGUCUGAAACUACUCGACUAGUGUAUUGGAGAGGGUAACGGAAUUCACGGUGUAGCAGUGAAAUGCGUAGAUAUCGUGAGGAACACCAGAGGCGAAGGCGGUUACCUGGACAAUUACUGACGCUCAGGCACGAAAGCAUGGGGAGCAAAAGGG
This 253-nucleotide ribosomal RNA is filed under the name uncultured bacterium. Its description in RNAcentral is "partial 16S ribosomal RNA". It matches the Rfam family "Bacterial small subunit ribosomal RNA", at positions 524 to 776 of the family's 1533-position model. The record is from RNAcentral.